RNAcentral lists this ribosomal RNA (497 nucleotides) under uncultured bacterium. Its description in RNAcentral is "partial 16S ribosomal RNA". It matches the Rfam family "Bacterial small subunit ribosomal RNA", at positions 28 to 507 of the family's 1533-position model. The record is from RNAcentral.
GAUGAACGCUGGCGGCGUGCCUAAUACAUGCAAGUCGAGCGAACAGACGAGGAGCUUGCUCCUCUGACGUUAGCGGCGGACGGGUGAGUAACACGUGGAUAACCUACCUAUAAGACUAGGAUAACUUCGGGAAACCGGAGCUAAUACCGGAUAACAUGUUGAACCGCAUGGUUCAACAGUGAAAGACGGUCUUGCUGUCACUUAUAGAUGGAUCCGCGCCGCAUUAGCUAGUUGGUAAGGUAACGGCUUACCAAGGCAACGAUGCGUAGCCGACCUGAGAGGGUGAUCGGCCACACUGGAACUGAGACACGGUCCAGACUCCUACGGGAGGCAGCAGUAGGGAAUCUUCCGCAAUGGGCGAAAGCCUGACGGGGCAACGCCGCGUGAGUGAAGAAGGUCUUCGGAUCGUAAAACUCUGUUAUUAGGGAAGAACAAAUGUGUAAGUAACUAUGCACGUCUUGACGGUACCUAAUCAGAAAGCCACGGCUAACUACGUG